CAUGCAGUCGACGGAACGAUGGAGAAGUUUACUUUUUCAGGCGUCGAGUGGCGGCACGGGUGAGUAAUGCAUAGGAAUCUGCCCUAUAGUUUGGGAUAACUACUCGAAAGAGUGGCUAAUACCGGAUGUGGACUACGGUUUAAAGCAGGGGACCUUCGGGCCUUGCGCUAUAGGAUGAGCCUAUGUGGGAUUAGCUAGUUGGUGAGGUAAAGGCUCACCAAGGCGACGAUCUCUAGCUGGUCUGAGAGGAUGAUCAGCCACACUGGGACUGAGACACGGCCCAGACUCCUACGGGAGGCAGCAGUGGGGAAUAUUGGACAAUGGGCGGAAGCCUGAUCCAGCAAUACCGCGUGUGUGAAGAAGGCCUUCGGGUUGUAAAGCACUUUUGUCAGGGAGAAUGGCAGUUGGGGUUAAUACCCUUAGCUGUUGAUGUUACCUGAAGAAUAAGCACCGGCUAACUCCGUGCCAGCAGCCGCGGUAAUACGGGGGGUGCAAGCGUUAAUCGGAAUUACUGGGCGUAAAGGGCGCGUAGGCGGUUACUUAAGUUAGAUGUGAAAGCCCCGGGCUUAACCUGGGAAUUGCAUUUAAUACUGGGUAACUAGAGUGUGGUAGAGAGUAGCGGAAUUUCUGGUGUAGCGGUGAAAUGCGUAGAUAUCAGAAGGAACACCAAUGGCGAAAGGCAGCUGCUUGGGCCAACACUGACGCUGAGGCGCGAAAGCAUGGGGAGCAAACAGGAUUAGAUACCCUGGUAGUCCACCGCUGUAACGAUGACACUUAUUGAUGGGGAGGGUUUACCUUUCGUUGAUGGUAGCUAACGUG
RNAcentral lists this ribosomal RNA (819 nucleotides) under uncultured bacterium. RNAcentral describes it as "bacterial SSU rRNA". It matches the Rfam family "Bacterial small subunit ribosomal RNA", at positions 54 to 859 of the family's 1533-position model. The record is from RNAcentral.